UACGGGAGGCAGCAGUGAGGAAUAUUGGUCAAUGGACGAGAGUCUGAACCAGCCAAGUAGCGUGCAGGAUGACGGCCCUAUGGGUUGUAAACUGCUUUUAUACAGGGAUAAAGUAGGGAACGUGUUCCCUUUUGCAGGUACUGUAUGAAUAAGGACCGGCUAAUUCCGUGCCAGCAGCCGCGGUAAU
Molecule: ribosomal RNA, 187 nt
Filed under: uncultured rumen bacterium
Lineage: Bacteria
Description: partial 16S ribosomal RNA
Rfam family: Bacterial small subunit ribosomal RNA
Source: RNAcentral